GCUUAGUUGGUCAGAGCAUUGGUGCGUAAAGCCAAAGGUCCCGGGUUCGAUUCCCGG
This 57-nucleotide transfer RNA is filed under the name Agrilus planipennis (emerald ash borer). It matches the Rfam family "tRNA", at positions 10 to 63 of the family's 71-position model. From Rfam's summary of the family: Transfer RNA (tRNA) molecules are approximately 80 nucleotides in length. Their secondary structure includes four short double-helical elements and three loops (D, anti-codon, and T loops). Further hydrogen bonds mediate the characteristic L-shaped molecular structure. tRNAs have two regions of fundamental functional importance: the anti-codon, which is responsible for specific mRNA codon recognition, and the 3' end, to which the tRNAs corresponding amino acid is attached (by aminoacyl-tRNA synthetases). tRNAs cope with the degeneracy of the genetic code in two manners: having more than one tRNA (with a specific anti-codon) for a particular amino acid; and 'wobble' base-pairing, i.e. permitting non-standard base-pairing at the 3rd anti-codon position. The record is from Rfam by way of RNAcentral. Lineage: Eukaryota; Metazoa; Arthropoda; Insecta; Coleoptera; Buprestidae.